GAUGAACGCUGACAGAAUGCUUAACACAUGCAAGUCAACUUGAACUUCGGUUUGGGUGGCGGACGGGUGAGUAACGCGUAAAGAACUUGCCUCACAGUUAGGGACAAAAUUUGGAAACGAAUGCUAAUACCUGAUAUUAUGAUUUUAGGGCAUCCUAGAAUUAUGAAAGCUAUAUGCGCUGUGAGAGAGCUUUGCGUCCCAUUAGCUAGUUGGAGAGGUAACGGCUCACCAAGGCGAUGAUGGGUAGCCGGCCUGAGAGGGUGAACGGCCACAAGGGGACUGAGACACGGCCCUUACUCCUACGGGAGGCAGCAGUGGGGAAUAUUGGACAAUGGACCAAGAGUCUGAUCCAGCAAUUCUGUGUGCACGAUGAAGUUUUUCGGAAUGUAAAGUGCUUUCAGUUGGGAAGAAAAAAAUGACGAUACCAACAGAAGAAGUGACGGCUAAAUACGUG
Molecule: ribosomal RNA, 454 nt
Filed under: uncultured bacterium
Lineage: Bacteria
Description: partial 16S ribosomal RNA
Rfam family: Bacterial small subunit ribosomal RNA
Source: RNAcentral